GUGGCUAUAGCUCAGUUGGUAGAGUGCCUGCCUCACAUGCACAAGGCCCUGGGUUCAAUUCCCCGCAACACACA
Molecule: transfer RNA, 74 nt
Filed under: Ictidomys tridecemlineatus (thirteen-lined ground squirrel)
Lineage: Eukaryota; Metazoa; Chordata; Mammalia; Rodentia; Sciuridae
Description: Spermophilus tridecemlineatus (thirteen-lined ground squirrel) tRNA
Rfam family: tRNA
About the family: Transfer RNA (tRNA) molecules are approximately 80 nucleotides in length. Their secondary structure includes four short double-helical elements and three loops (D, anti-codon, and T loops).
Source: Rfam by way of RNAcentral